UUUCCGUAGGUGAACCUGCGGAAGGAUCAUUGUCGAAACCUGCCCAGCAGAACGACCCGCGAACUUGUAUAAACAACCGGGGGCGGGGGGCGUUCUCGCCCCGUGCCCCCGAACGGCGGGGAGACACUCGUGCCUUCUUGCCGAACAACGAACCCAGGCGCGGUCUGCGCCAAGGAACUUCAACUAAAGAGUGCCUCCGGUCGCCUCGGAAACGGCGUGCGUGCCGGGGGCGAAUCUUGUGCAAAACCAUAACGACUCUCGGCAACGGAUAUCUCGGCUCUC
RNAcentral lists this unclassified non-coding RNA (282 nucleotides) under plant metagenome. Its description in RNAcentral is "partial contains small subunit ribosomal RNA, internal transcribed spacer 1, and 5.8S ribosomal RNA". The record is from RNAcentral.